Molecule: ribosomal RNA, 505 nt
Filed under: uncultured bacterium
Lineage: Bacteria
Description: partial 16S ribosomal RNA
Rfam family: Bacterial small subunit ribosomal RNA
Source: RNAcentral
GACGAACGCUGGCGGCGUGCCUAAUACAUGCAAGUAGAACGCACAGUCUAUACCGUCGCUUGCUUCACCAUAGCCUGUGAGUUGCGAACGGGUGAGUAACGCGUAGGUAACCUGCCUGGUAGCGGGGGAUAACUAUUGGAAACGAUAGCUAAUACCGCAUAAUAUAUAUUAUUGCAUGAUAAUUGAUUGAAAUGUGAAAUUGCACCACUCCCAGACGGACCUGCGUUGGAUUAGCUAGUAGGGGAGGUAACGGGUCACCUAGGGGACGAUACAUAGCCGAACUGAGAGGGUGAUCGGCCACACUGGGACUUGGACACGGCCCAGAACCCCUCCGGGAGGCGCAGUAGGGGAACUUCGGCAAUGGGCGGAAGUCUGACCGAGCAACGCCGGGUGGGGUGAGAAAGGUUUCGGGUCGGAAAGCUCCGUUGUAUGGGAAGAACGGGUGUUAGGGUUGAAAGUUCACAUUUUGACGGUAUCUAACCAGAAAGCGACGGCUAACUACGUG